Molecule: unclassified non-coding RNA, 348 nt
Filed under: soil metagenome
Description: partial contains 5.8S ribosomal RNA, internal transcribed spacer 2, and large subunit ribosomal RNA
Rfam family: 5.8S ribosomal RNA (bases 1-120)
Source: RNAcentral
GAUGAAGAACGUAGCGAAAUGCGAUAAGUAAUGUGAAUUGCAGAAUUCAGUGAAUCAUCGAAUCUUUGAACGCACAUUGCGCCCGCCAGUAUUCUGGCGGGCAUGCCUGUCUGAGCAUCAUUUCAACCCUCAUGCCCCUAGGGCGUGGUGUUGGGGAUCGGCCAAAGCCCGCGAGGGACGGCCGGCCCCUAAAUCUAGUGGCGGACCCGUCGUGGCCUCCUCUGCGAAGUAGUGAUAUUCCGCAUCGGAGAGCGAUGAGCCCCUGCCGUUAAACCCCCAACUUUCCAAGGUUGACCUCAGAUCAGGUAGGAAUACCCGCUGAACUUAAGCAUAUCAAUAAGCGGAGGA